UACAGAGAGUGCGAACGUUGUUCGGAAUUACUGGGCUUAAAGCGCGCGUAGGCGGCGAUACAAGUGUCGGGUGAAAUCCCACGGCUCACCCGUGGAACUGCCCGGCAAACUGUAUUGCUCGAGUGUGGUAGGGGAGAGCGGAACUCCUGGUGGAGCGGUGAAAUGCGUAGAUAUCAGGAGGAACACCGGUGGCGGAGGCGGCUCUCUGGUCCACAACUGACGCUGAGGCGCGAAAGCUAGGGUAGCGAACGGG
This 253-nucleotide ribosomal RNA is filed under the name uncultured bacterium. RNAcentral's name for it is "partial 16S ribosomal RNA". It matches the Rfam family "Bacterial small subunit ribosomal RNA", at positions 524 to 776 of the family's 1533-position model. The record is from RNAcentral.